Molecule: ribosomal RNA, 440 nt
Filed under: uncultured bacterium
Lineage: Bacteria
Description: partial 16S ribosomal RNA
Rfam family: Bacterial small subunit ribosomal RNA
Source: RNAcentral
CCUACGGGAGGCAGCAGUAGGGAAUAUUGCUCAAUGGCGGAAACCCUGAAGCAGCAACGCCGCGUGGGGGAUGACGGUCUUCGGAUUGUAAACUCCUUUUGUUAGAGAAGAUAAGGAAAGUAUCUAACGAAUAAGCACCGGCUAAAUCCGGGACAGCAGCCGCGGUAAGACGGAGGGUGCAAGCGUUACUCGGAAUCAAUGGGCGUAAAGAGCGCGUAGGGGGGAGAGAAAGUCCGGUGGUAAAUCGUAUGGCUUAACCAUAGAACUGCAGUUGAAACUGUUAUUCUAGAGUACGGGAGAGGUAGGUGGAAUGCGUGGUGUAGGGGUAAAAUCCGUAGAGAUCAAGAGGAAUACUCAUUGCGAAGGCGACCUGCUAGAACAUAACUGACGCUGAUGCGCGAAAGCGUGGGGAGCAAACAGGAUUAGAUACCCGGGUAGUC